This is a non-coding RNA of Paralichthys olivaceus (Japanese flounder), 1356 nucleotides long. Lineage: Eukaryota; Metazoa; Chordata; Actinopteri; Pleuronectiformes; Paralichthyidae. The record is from RefSeq and is a predicted model, not a curated record.
AACCAGGUGGGAUGAUCACAAAGUAUUCUCACCUCACUCUGGAUGAUCGACUGUUUAUUGGCUGUGGCUGAGGGGGUGCACGUCUGCAGGUCAACAACCCCUUCCUUUCUUCCUUCAAUGACUUCCUCAGGAUUAUUCGACGAUGGCCAAAAAGGUGUUGUCAGUUUCCCCCUAUCCAAGGAGAGGUCUCUACACAGAAUGGACAUCUUCCUUCAGCUCCCAGCAGAGAAGUUUCAGUUCUCAUUUCAUCGCCGCUGACAACGCAAUUCAUCACUCCGAGGUCUGCAUGAAUGCCUUCUUUAAACAAUGCCAGUGCAUCAUUGCUCAAAGACUAAAAGAAUGAGCACUGCAUACCAACCGAAACUAUCUACAUUUCAUCUCGUCCUUCUUUUCUCCCUUUUUCCCUCUCGCCAAAAUGAAGCUGUCUCGCUUGUGUUUCUGUCUGCUCAUGCCCCUGCUCUGCUCAAGGACAUGAAUGAAACUGAAUAAAACAUGACUGGCAUCUUGUCAUCUCAGAGAGCACGGGCUGAAGAUGGGAAGGGAAAUAGAAAAUCUCACCUCUGUUUGUUUGUCAGUAUGGAUAUAAGGGGGGACAAAAAUGUGUAACCACACAUGGACGAAGUCUGAACCUAUUUUUUUUUAGCGAUGUAAAAGGAUUUGGAAGCGCUUGAUGUAACAUCGAGUAAAAAGAGUUCAUUACCCAUUUGCCAGCGCCCGCCCUUCUUUUAUCGCACCGAUCAGUGGUUACUUAAGCUUUUACAUCAAAUCUGUGGAUCCUUUGAUUGCCCAGCCAAUUGCUCUGCCUUGUCAGGGCUCUGUUAAUAGUAAUCCUUUAUGUCUCGGUAAUCACAAGGUAAUCUUCUGAUCUUAAUUCAACACUGAUCUUUUCCCUCGUUGAUCAUUCUCUCUCUUCUAUCCCCAACUCCUCCAUCAGUAAUUUCUUCAGGCUCUUUGCUCUAACUCUUCACUCUGUUUUAUUUCUUUUGCUUCCAGAUACAUCAGACAGAAAAGUGCUCAUACACUCCAUCUCUGCAACCACCCUCUGAGCUGUAGGGGCUUGAUCUAUGGUUUUACACCAGGUCUUGUGGCCCAAUUCCCAUCUCUGUAGUCACUAUAGUACACUAUAGUUAAGAUGAUACUGACAAGCUGCACACACACACGUGCUGGGGUAAGUGGAUGCACACACAACUGAAUUGGACAGAAGAGAUUCACCCUUUGUGAAUAGUUUAAUUAGACCAACUGUGUUUCUAAAGACAUUUUCAAAAAGCUUUUGCCUAUAAAAUCAAAUUUGCUUGUAAAAUCUAAUUACAUAUCAAAAUGUUUCUACAGCCAUUAUCAAGUGCUUAUUAUAGCAGU